ACAUGCAGUCGAGCGGACAGAAGGGAGCUUGCUCCCGGAUGUUAGCGGCGGACGGGUGAGUAACACGUGGGUAACCUGCCUGUAAGACUGGGAUAACUCCGGGAAACCGGAGCUAAUACCGGAUAGUUCCUUGAACCGCAUGGUUCAAGGAUGAAAGACGGUUUCGGCUGUCACUUACAGAUGGACCCGCGGCGCAUUAGCUAGUUGGUGGGGUAAUGGCUCACCAAGGCGACGAUGCGUAGCCGACCUGAGAGGGUGAUCGGCCACACUGGGACUGAGACACGGCCCAGACUCCUACGGGAGGCAGCAGUAGGGAAUCUUCCGCAAUGGACGAAAGUCUGACGGAGCAACGCCGCGUGAGUGAUGAAGGUUUUCGGAUCGUAAAGCUCUGUUGUUAGGGAAGAACAAGUGCGAGAGUAACUGCUCGCACCUUGACGGUACCUAACCAGAAAGCCACGGCUAACUACGUGCCAGCAGCCGCGGUAAUACGUAGGUGGCAAGCGUUGUCCGGAAUUAUUGGGCGUAAAGGGCUCGCAGGCGGUUUCUUAAGUCUGAUGUGAAAGCCCCCGGCUCAACCGGGGAGGGUCAUUGGAAACUGGGAAACUUGAGUGCAGAAGAGGAGAGUGGAAUUCCACGUGUAGCGGUGAAAUGCGUAGAGAUGUGGAGGAACACCAGUGGCGAAGGCGACUCUCUGGUCUGUAACUGACGCUGAGGAGCGAAAGCGUGGGGAGCGAACAGGAUUAGAUACCCUGGUAGUCCACGCCGUAAACGAUGAGUGCUAAGUGUUAGGGGGUUUCCGCCCCUUAGUGCUGCAGCUAACGCAUUAAGCACUCCGCCUGGGGAGUACGGUCGCAAGACUGAAACUCAAAGGAAUUGACGGGGGCCCGCACAAGCGGUGGAGCAUGUGGUUUAAUUCGAAGCAACGCGAAGAACCUUACCAGGUCUUGACAUCCUCUGACAACCCUAGAGAUAGGGCUUUCCCUUCGGGGACAGAGUGACAGGUGGUGCAUGGUUGUCGUCAGCUCGUGUCGUGAGAUGUUGGGUUAAGUCCCGCAACGAG
This 1060-nucleotide ribosomal RNA is filed under the name Bacillus sp. 1016B12_12AR2A. Its description in RNAcentral is "bacterial SSU rRNA". It matches the Rfam family "Bacterial small subunit ribosomal RNA", at positions 53 to 1096 of the family's 1533-position model. Lineage: Bacteria; Bacillati; Bacillota; Bacilli; Caryophanales; Bacillaceae. The record is from RNAcentral.